GCCCUAGCUUCGGUUGGACAUAUACUAAAAUUGGAACGAUACAGAGAAGAUUAGCAUGGUCCCUGCGCAAGGAUGAUGAAAAAUUUAGCCGCUAGGUAGCGCUAGUGUGU
Molecule: small nuclear RNA, 110 nt
Filed under: Aedes aegypti (yellow fever mosquito)
Lineage: Eukaryota; Metazoa; Arthropoda; Insecta; Diptera; Culicidae
Source: RNAcentral